Molecule: unclassified non-coding RNA, 253 nt
Filed under: uncultured Moraxellaceae bacterium
Lineage: Bacteria; Pseudomonadati; Pseudomonadota; Gammaproteobacteria; Moraxellales; Moraxellaceae
Description: contains 16S-23S intergenic spacer region
Rfam family: Bacterial small subunit ribosomal RNA
Source: RNAcentral
UACGGAGGGGGUUAGCGUUAAUCGGAUUUACUGGGCGUAAAGCGUGCGUAGGCGGCUUUUUAAGUCGGAUGUGAAACCCCCGAGCUUAACUUGGGAAUUGCAUUCGAUACUGGGAAGCUAGAGUAUGGGAGAGGAUGGUAGAAUUCCAGGUGUAGCGGUGAAAUGCGUAGAGAUCUGGAGGAAUACCGAUGGCGAAGGCAGCCAUCUGGUCUAAUACUGACGCUGAGGUACGAAAGCAUGGGUAGCGAACAGG